UACGGAGGGUGCAAGCGUUGUCCGGAUUCAUUGGGUUUAAAGGGUGCGCAGGCGGGACAUUAAGUCAGGGGUGAAAGACGGUCGCUCAACAAUCGCAGUGCCUUUGAUACUGGUGUUCUUGGGUGACCUUGAGGUAGGCGGAAUGGGUGGUGUAGCGGUGAAAUGCAUAGAUACCACCCAGAACUCCGAUUGCGAAGGCAGCCUACUGGAGGUUUACCGACGCUCAGGCACGAAAGCGUGGGGAUCAAACAGG
RNAcentral lists this ribosomal RNA (253 nucleotides) under uncultured bacterium. RNAcentral's name for it is "partial 16S ribosomal RNA". It matches the Rfam family "Bacterial small subunit ribosomal RNA", at positions 524 to 776 of the family's 1533-position model. The record is from RNAcentral.